GAUGAAGAACGUAGCGAAAUGCGAUAAGUAAUGUGAAUUGCAGAAUUCAGUGAAUCAUCGAAUCUUUGAACGCACAUUGCGCCCGCCAGUAUUCUGGCGGGCAUGCCUGUUCGAGCGUCAUUUCAACCAUCAAGCCCCAGGCUUGUGUUGGGGACCUGCGGCUGCCGCAGGCCCUGAAAACCAGUGGCGGGCUCGCUGUCACACCGGGCGUAGUAGAUUUUAUCUCGCUCAGGGCGUGCUGCGGGUUCCGGCCGUUAAAAAGCCUUAUUUACCCAAGGUUGACCUCGGAUCAGGUAGGAAGACCCGCUGAACUUAAGCAUAUCAAUAAGCGGAGGA
This 336-nucleotide unclassified non-coding RNA is filed under the name soil metagenome. Its description in RNAcentral is "partial contains 5.8S ribosomal RNA, internal transcribed spacer 2, and large subunit ribosomal RNA". The stretch from base 1 to 120 matches the Rfam family "5.8S ribosomal RNA", at positions 35 to 154 of the family's 154-position model. The record is from RNAcentral.